Bombina bombina (fire-bellied toad) is the source of this 503-nucleotide long non-coding RNA. RefSeq lists it as uncharacterized. The transcript has 2 exons. NCBI's taxonomy places the organism in Eukaryota, Metazoa, Chordata, Amphibia, Anura, Bombinatoridae. The record is from RefSeq and is a predicted model, not a curated record.
CAACAAACCAACCGGGUUUGAAUGAUUUUUUUUCCUCUGCUCUUCUUGCCUGCCAGCGGCGGCUGUGCAGUCAUAUCCAUCUAAAAUGGCGACCGUGGAACCGCAUGACUGCCCAAUGUGCACAAAGUGAGGACCGUGAAGACAUGGUUUUGAUUAAUUUGGUAUACAGAAAACUCGAGUAAACAGCAUGGAGUUCUUACCUCAACCCCACUGAACACCUUUUGGAUGAAUUAGAACACAGACUGCAAGAUGGCCUUGUCAAAUAUCAGUGGCUUACCUCACAAAUGCUCUUAGGUCAUUUCCACUGACAAACUCCCAAAUCUUGUGGAAAUCCUUUCCCAGAAGAGUUGUGGAUUCUAUAGCCUCGUAAGGGGGGGCGACUCCUUUUUAAUUCCCAUGAUUUUUGGAAUAGAAUGUCCACCAUGCUUUAAUAGGUGUGAUGUUUAGGUGUCCACAUACUUUUGGCCAUAUAGUGUAUUAAUCAUAAAUCCAUCCUUGAUGUC